Long non-coding RNA from Anopheles stephensi (Asian malaria mosquito), 2103 nucleotides. RefSeq lists it as uncharacterized. The transcript is spliced from 3 exons. NCBI's taxonomy places the organism in Eukaryota, Metazoa, Arthropoda, Insecta, Diptera, Culicidae. The record is from RefSeq and is a predicted model, not a curated record.
CAUACCCAUAUCGGGUAGUGGACGGAUGGGUCGCCGAUAAACUUUCGAUAAUCGUUUCAAUUAGCGACAAAAAAGGGAAGAAAUUAAAGAGUGCACACGGCGUCACACGGAGCACGCGUGAGCGGCCGCCAUAGGUCGCCGAAGUUUUUCAUUGUACGCAGUCGGCGGGCACAGCGGCUGGCAGUUGCAGUUUCACUGUCGCCCGCCUGCACGGAAAGCAAACAAAAGCUGUGGCUGCAGACACUGUGCCGUGUCUGGGUCGUCCGGGUGAUGUGAGAUUUCGGCGGAGACGCGUCGGCACACAGAUCGUGACGACCGGAAUCACAUCAUUCUCUGCCCCUUCAUACCUGUGGUCCACGAUUGGGAAGGGGUUCAAUCAUUCGCGGUGCGCUGCAGUGCUGGCGCGGUUUGCCUACUGAUGACCAUUUGGUGCGUCAACUAAUGGGCGAACGCAUGCGUCGAUGGGCAUCGUGCUGGAUCGCAAAGGGCGCAUCCAGGAAGAGGAUUCUCAAUAUCUGAUUGUUCUUCAAAUUGACCCGCGUGUUCGGUUAACCGAUCGAUCGAUCGUUGAAAGUGUACGUUGCCACCCAGACCUGUGACCAUCUCUGAGACUUCUAAACGGCCACCAGAGUGUGUGCGAUCCCCGAAGAUGAACACACAAAUCUUACACGUGCAGCUCAUUUAUGUGACCGGCCGGCGAAGACGUCCACCAAUAAUCCAUAGAGUUCGAGCAGUAAGUGAAUGCACCGUUCUCCAUUAGCGUACGAAUACGAUGCGGCAAAAGAUGCACUGAUGCAGAUGAAGAUUGUUGUAUAACAAAUAGUAAUUAAAUUAAUUAGUUAUUAAAUUAUACCCUUCGCGUGCCUCCACGAUGGAGUACGCAGGAUGGCGAUUAGGCGCGUCUCAAGGAAGGAAGCAAGGAGUGGGCAUCAUUUGUUGCACUCGAACUGAAACCCGACUGUGAAUUACUCGCUCACCAAGCGCGAUGCAGUAGAAACAGCCGCGACCAACGUCAACCAGUGGUCGAUCGUAACAGCACCGUGGAAACGCAUAGAACCAUAAAAACGUUCCACACCCCCCGAGUGGGUGGACACGCGGGAAAAGAAAUGAGUUUUUCAUUCGUUAUUAAUUUAGUGGAAGAUCUACAGACGCGUACACGUUCAAUGUUACAAGACACAUCGCCCGGUGGUACGGGCAUCGAUUAGGCGAACCGUCAUUACGCCGGGAACUACAGCUUUAAACGCAUGCGCAAGAAGUGUAGCAUCAUCAUCGGUCAUCAAUGGAGCGAUGUGAGGUGCAAUGCUUGGUGGAAGUAUAAUCAGCUGUACAGUAAGCGGGCCCAGUCAGUCAGUCAGUCAGUCAGUCAGUAAGUUAGCCAGCCAAUCCAGUUAAGGUUCUGCGCUGGGGGUUCGUCCCCUAAUUGGAUUAAUAAUAGAGCCCUCGGGGCGUAUGCCGAUGCCUGCCCAGUGUUCUAAUUAUUUUAAUUUUCAAUUGUUUGACUCUUUUUUUUGCCCCGCUACCGUCGCGUUACCGUACCAGCUAGCUUCAGCUCAAUUGAUUGUGCUUUGUGAGUCGUGUAAAGUGGGAUACAUCCAUAGCUUUCCACCGUGUGCUGUGAUUGAUUCGGGAAUAGUAGCGGGAGCUGGGUUUUGGAUCUAAUAAGUUGUAUACAUGUAACAAUAAGCGCUACUGUUGUUGCGGGAUCAGCCGAACACAGGGACGCUGGAGUUCGAUAGUGGCCUGAAGCUGAAAGUGUGCCAUCGAAGCGACUGCUGCAUUCCGAUCGUUCGCAUAUGAUCCGUGGACGCUGGUUUUCGGAGGAGGUCGGUAAAUGAAGCAAUAAAAUGGUUAUUAAUGUUGUUCAUCACAAAAGCUACCGUCCGUUCAAUACAAAAUCAAAGCCCGAUUUCUAGCAUUGAUCAUACGGCGAAGAAACUAUUGUGCCGUACAUAUCGAAAGGAUCUCGUGACGGAACCAGCAGUGAAAGUCGCCUCUUCGCCGGAAUGUCUUUCAUUUUCCGAUUCCCACAGCCAGCAAUAGGGCGUUCGAGCGGUGGGAUGAGAUUUUCGCACAAAGGAAUAUUAAAUUCUCGAUUGGACAAAA